Molecule: ribosomal RNA, 1446 nt
Filed under: bacterium
Lineage: Bacteria
Description: bacterial SSU rRNA
Rfam family: Bacterial small subunit ribosomal RNA
Source: RNAcentral
UCAAUGGCGGCAGACUACACAUGCAGUCGAGCGGUAGCACAGAGAGCUUGCUCUCGGGUGACGAGCGGCGGACGGGUGAGUAAUGUCUGGGAAACUGCCUGAUGGAGGGGGAUAACUACUGGAAACGGUAGCUAAUACCGCAUAAUGUCGCAAGACCAAAGAGGGGGACCUUCGGGCCUCUUGCCAUCAGAUGUGCCCAGAUGGGAUUAGCUAGUAGGUGGGGUAACGGCUCACCUAGGCGACGAUCCCUAGCUGGUCUGAGAGGAUGACCAGCCACACUGGAACUGAGACACGGUCCAGACUCCUACGGGAGGCAGCAGUGGGGAAUAUUGCACAAUGGGCGCAAGCCUGAUGCAGCCAUGCCGCGUGUAUGAAGAAGGCCUUCGGGUUGUAAAGUACUUUCAGCGGGGAGGAAGGUGUUGAGGUUAAUAACCUCAGCAAUUGACGUUACCCGCAGAAGAAGCACCGGCUAACUCCGUGCCAGCAGCCGCGGUAAUACGGAGGGUGCAAGCGUUAAUCGGAAUUACUGGGCGUAAAGCGCACGCAGGCGGUCUGUCAAGUCGGAUGUGAAAUCCCCGGGCUCAACCUGGGAACUGCAUUCGAAACUGGCAGGCUAGAGUCUUGUAGAGGGGGGUAGAAUUCCAGGUGUAGCGGUGAAAUGCGUAGAGAUCUGGAGGAAUACCGGUGGCGAAGGCGGCCCCCUGGACAAAGACUGACGCUCAGGUGCGAAAGCGUGGGGAGCAAACAGGAUUAGAUACCCUGGUAGUCCACGCCGUAAACGAUGUCGACUUGGAGGUUGUGCCCUUGAGGCGUGGCUUCCGGAGCUAACGCGUUAAGUCGACCGCCUGGGGAGUACGGCCGCAAGGUUAAAACUCAAAUGAAUUGACGGGGGCCCGCACAAGCGGUGGAGCAUGUGGUUUAAUUCGAUGCAACGCGAAGAACCUUACCUACUCUUGACAUCCAGAGAACUUUCCAGAGAUGGAUUGGUGCCUUCGGGAACUCUGAGACAGGUGCUGCAUGGCUGUCGUCAGCUCGUGUUGUGAAAUGUUGGGUUAAGUCCCGCAACGAGCGCAACCCUUAUCCUUUGUUGCCAGCGGUCCGGCCGGGAACUCAAAGGAGACUGCCAGUGAUAAACUGGAGGAAGGUGGGGAUGACGUCAAGUCAUCAUGGCCCUUACGAGUAGGGCUACACACGUGCUACAAUGGCGCAUACAAAGAGAAGCGACCUCGCGAGAGCAAGCGGACCUCAUAAAGUGCGUCGUAGUCCGGAUUGGAGUCUGCAACUCGACUCCAUGAAGUCGGAAUCGCUAGUAAUCGUAGAUCAGAAUGCUACGGUGAAUACGUUCCCGGGCCUUGUACACACCGCCCGUCACACCAUGGGAGUGGGUUGCAAAAGAAGUAGGUAGCUUAACCUUCGGGAGGGCGCUACCACUUUGAAUUCCCUUGC